Long non-coding RNA from Corvus hawaiiensis (hawaiian crow), 758 nucleotides. RefSeq lists it as uncharacterized. Lineage: Eukaryota; Metazoa; Chordata; Aves; Passeriformes; Corvidae. The transcript is spliced from 3 exons. The record is from RefSeq and is a predicted model, not a curated record.
CUGAAGGGCCAAGCUCUGCUGGAUGUCACGGAGCAUCUCUCAGCGCUUGUGGCAUGGGUUUAUCCCAGGAGCCCCGAAGUCGUCCAGCGCUACGCCCUGCCCGUGCUCUGGUCCUUCCUGGGGAACAAGGCGCUGCCUGUCCGAAGCGCCAAUGUCCGCACUGUGGUCACCAAGCUUGCCUGCGCCCUCUACAAGGUGAUGGGCGCCAAGCUGAGGAAGCAUGCUGCCAGCCAGCCUCCGCAUGUGCGGGAAAACCUCUCCGACAUUUUGGGCUGGUGAAGGCUCGAUGACCUGCAGAGAGAUGACAAAGUGCUGAGUUGGACACCUCCGGACGUGACUUCUUAGCUGUGCCAAAAAGGACAGAAUGCAAAGGAAGGGUGUGCACCUGCCCCCGCUCUCUCCACCCCCCUUCCUAGUUGUGGCAUGGGGUGCCUGAAGCAACUUCCAAUUGAGGACAAGGUGAAGGCUGAGCAUGGCUCAGCCUCACAAAGAGGCGUAACUGGCUACAAUCUUAUCAAGAAGUUUUCCUUGGACGUUUCCUAUGUUCCCUAACCGACAAAGCCCUUGCCUCCCAUCCAGAAGAGCUCUCUUUCCUCGAGCUCAGGAAGAAGGUGCUGCCUGUCUGAAGAAUGUUUGAAGAUUUGGAUUUAUACGUUAGGCUUUGUAGUUACAGAUGUACAUAUGUUCUGACAUGUAGAUGUAGGUUUGAAUAAAUGUGUUAUCAUUUUAUCUUUUAAAUUUUGAAAAUAGAUUUUCAA